GACGAACGCUGGCGGCGUGCUUAACACAUGCAAGUCGAGCGGUAAGGCCCUUUCGGGGGUACACGAGCGGCGAACGGGUGAGUAACACGUGGGUGACCUGCCCUCAGCUCUGGGAUAAGCCUGGGAAACCGGGUCUAAUACUGGAUAUGACUCCAUGACGCAUGUUGUGGGGUGGAAAGCCUUGUGCGGCUGAGGAUGGGCCCGCGGCCUAUCAGCUUGUUGGUGGGGUGAUGGCCUACCAAGGCGACGACGGGUAGCCGGCCUGAGAGGGCGACCGGGCCACACUGGGACUGAGACACGGCCCAGACUCCUACGGGAGGCAGCAGUGGGGAAUCUUGCGCAAUGGGCGAAAGCCUG
Molecule: ribosomal RNA, 357 nt
Filed under: uncultured bacterium
Lineage: Bacteria
Description: bacterial SSU rRNA
Rfam family: Bacterial small subunit ribosomal RNA
Source: RNAcentral